GCUGCCAUAGUUCAGAUCAAGCAAGGGGGCGGGGCCACACGCUAACCAGGAAGUAGCAAACAGCCGAGGUACAAGCGGAGUCCCGCUGGCCGCGUUAACCCGAGCUUUGGGCAAUAUGCCAGACAGGCUAACAGACCAGAGAAUGCUCACUCGCUGGCCGAAGGUCCCAGCGGCGCGUAAGCCUGCGAAAGCGGGCAACUGGGGCUGAGGGAGACCAGCUAAGGGAAGGGAGAGGCAGUGCCCAGGGAGGCGCUCACGGACGCACACACACAGCACUCUCGAAGAUGGAAAAAUUCCCAGCUGUUUUGCCUCAGGUUGUUUGUGCAGUAUUGGCCAGGAUCCUGCACAAGUGCCCACUAUCCAUGUUUACCAUCUGAGCCAGUUCUCUCCAUACACAACACAAAACCUUUAAUGUUCUGCUAUAAAAAGUGUCAGGUAUUAAAU
Molecule: long non-coding RNA, 444 nt
Organism: Oreochromis aureus
Lineage: Eukaryota; Metazoa; Chordata; Actinopteri; Cichliformes; Cichlidae
Source: Ensembl